AGCAGCCGCGGUAAUUCCAGCUCCAAUAGCGUAUAUUAAAGUUGUUGCAGUUAAAAAGCUCGUAGUUGAAUUUCGGGAUCAAUUAAUCGGUCGUGCCUCUGGUACGUACUGGUUUUAUUGGUUCCUCCCUUCUGACGAAACACGAUGUCAUUAAUUUGGUGUCGUGGAGAAUCAGGACUGUUACCUUGAAAAAAUUAGAGUGUUUAUAGCAGGCUAACGCUUGAAUACAUUAGCAUGGAAUAAUGAAAUAGGACGUUCGACCCUAUUUUGUUGGUUUCUAGGAUCGACGUAAUGACUAAUAGGGAUAGUUGGGGGCAUUAGUAUUCAAUUGUCAGAGGUGAAAUUCUUGGAUUUAUUGAAGACUAACUACUGCGAAAGCAUUUGCCAAGGAUGUUUUCAUUAAUCAAGAACGAAAGUUAGGGGAUCGAAGACGAUCAGAUACCGUCGUAGUCUUAACCAUAAACUAUGCCGACUAGGGAUCGGAUGAUGUUAAUUUUUAAUGACUCAUUCGGCGCCUUAC
This 520-nucleotide ribosomal RNA is filed under the name uncultured Glomus. RNAcentral's name for it is "SSU rRNA". It matches the Rfam family "Eukaryotic small subunit ribosomal RNA", at positions 569 to 1091 of the family's 1831-position model. The record is from RNAcentral. Lineage: Eukaryota; Fungi; Glomeromycota; Glomeromycetes; Glomerales; Glomeraceae.